GACCCUGUAGCACAAGGGCAGCGUGUCUGACUCCGGAUCAGGAGGUUAUGUGGUUGAAUCACACCAGGGUAA
Molecule: transfer RNA, 72 nt
Filed under: Cathartes aura (turkey vulture)
Lineage: Eukaryota; Metazoa; Chordata; Aves; Accipitriformes; Cathartidae
Rfam family: tRNA
About the family: Transfer RNA (tRNA) molecules are approximately 80 nucleotides in length. Their secondary structure includes four short double-helical elements and three loops (D, anti-codon, and T loops).
Source: Rfam by way of RNAcentral